GAUCAGUGACAGGUGCUGCAUGGCUGUCGUCAGCUCGUGUCGUGAGAUGUUGGGUUAAGUCCCGCAACGAGCGCAACCCUUAUCUUUAGUUGCCAUCAGGUCAAGCUGGGCACUCUAAAGAAACUGCCGGUGAUAAGCCGGAGGAAGGCGGGGAUGACGUCAAGUCCUCAUGGCCCUUAUGACCUGGGCUACACACGUGCUACAAUGGCAGUGACAAUGAGCAGCAAUAGCGCGAGCUUUAGCUAACCUCAAAAAUCUGUCUCAGUUCGGAUUGAACUCUGCAACUCGAGUUCAUGAAGUUGGAAUCGCUAGUAAUCGUAGAUCAGCAUGCUACGGUGAAUACGUUCCCGGGCCUUGUACACACCGCCCGUCACACCAUGGAAGUUGGUUUUACCCAAAGACGACGCGCUAACCGCAAGGAGGCAGUCGGCCACGGUAAGGUCAGCGACUGGGGUGAAGUCGUAACAAGGUAGCCGUACCGGAAGGUGUGGCUGGAUCACCUCCUUUCUAAGAGAAUUUUAGAAAACUCUUCUAAAAUUUAAAUUAAAUCACCACCUUCACAUUCCUUUAUUUAGAGUUUCCAAAUGGGCUAGUAGCUCAGUUGGUUAGAGCACACGCUUGAUAAGCGUGGGGUCGGAGGUUCAAGUCCUCCCUGGCCCACCAGUUAGGGGGCGUAGCUCAGUUGGGAGAGCGGUAGCUUUGCAAGCUAUAGGUCGUCGGUUCGAUCCCGUCCGCCUCCACCAACUUGCCUUAAAAAUCGUUUUUUGACAUUGUGAAUAUUAAUAUUAAGUAUAUUGAAAACUUCAAUUUUGAAUUUUUUUAUAUUUUGUGUAUAAAAAAAGUUUGAGAGUUCAAUAAAGUAUGAAAAGGGCGUUUAGUGGAUGCCUUGGCAUUGAGAGGCGAUGAAGGACGUAGCACGUUGCGAUAAGCUUCGGG
This 936-nucleotide small RNA is filed under the name uncultured bacterium. Its description in RNAcentral is "bacterial SSU rRNA". The stretch from base 1 to 507 matches the Rfam family "Bacterial small subunit ribosomal RNA", at positions 1026 to 1533 of the family's 1533-position model. The record is from RNAcentral.